GGGGCGGAGGUGGUGGUCACGGGGUUGCGGAACCCGUGUCCGCAGAUUAAUCGCUUUCGGAGCGGGUUGGUGGAGAAGUUCGUUGUGCGCGGGCCGGAUGGGCGGAUUGUCGCGCGCAAGGCCGGGGUGAUGGGCAUUGUGGAGAGGGGCGGGGUUGUGAGGCCUGGUAUGCGGAUUUUGGUGAGAGGCCGCCCGUGCAUGAGGCGUUGAGUGUGUUUAGUAUUAGUGGUGUUCUUUCGGGGCGGUGGUUUUUCUUUUUCUUUUUGAUGUGAAUGUUUCGUUUCGUUUUGUUUUCCCGGCUUGGAAGUCGAUUCCACAUUGUUUUUAUUUUUUGAAGGAUAUCAGCAUGCCAUGCUCCUUGCUAAAGCAGGGUGCGGAGAUAUUCGAGAUUCUCUGGAGAGUGAAUCCGCAGUUCCCCCGGCGUCACAGGAAGAGAAUGCUCAGCGUGAAGGAAUUAACCCGGCCGGCACAGCUGUAUCAUGAAAAUGCACAUAAUACCAAACGCCUUCCCAAUUUAUAGAGCAACAGAGAAAACUCUUGAUGUGCUCCCCACGUUUUCUUCAUGAUUUGUCUUUCGGGUGGCUGCCGUUGUCGCUAUUUUCUGGCAAUCUUUUCGAUAUAGGGCCCAGCCCUAUCAUACCGGAGAAACUAUCCUGUUUGAUUGAUAGAGAAAUACAAGAGGUCAUUAGCAAGCUGGGUCAGUGAGAAGGAAUGGAUUUACUCAUGGAAACGCAGUUGCAAACUUAGCGUAAGGAACGGAAACAACCGGCGUGAUCGUGGAGGGUAUACGCAUAUACAAUUCAACCUUGAUAGGUAGGUAGGUGGGUAGGUAGGAGGAAACACUGCUUGGAAAGGAAGUUUUGAGAGGAUGAAAAACGUACGUGCAUGAUAUAUAUCCCUAUUAUCGUCGUUCCGGGAGUGAUUUCUGUCUUUCCCAUCUUUUUGCGAACCAGUGGCCCGGGCGGGAACCUCAGUUGGGGAAUUGCAUUUGGCUGAAAGGUGAAUUGUCGGUUGCGGUUUGUUGCGACCUAUUCGCACAUUGUUGUAAGCUUGAUGUCCUAGUGUAAAGGGG
This 1072-nucleotide small RNA is filed under the name Histoplasma capsulatum var. duboisii H88. RNAcentral describes it as "Histoplasma capsulatum H88 hypothetical RNA". Lineage: Eukaryota; Fungi; Ascomycota; Eurotiomycetes; Onygenales; Ajellomycetaceae. The record is from RNAcentral.